This 101-nucleotide small nucleolar RNA is filed under the name Myotis lucifugus (little brown bat). RNAcentral's name for it is "Small nucleolar RNA SNORA63 (ENSMLUG00000021862.1)". Lineage: Eukaryota; Metazoa; Chordata; Mammalia; Chiroptera; Vespertilionidae. The record is from RNAcentral.
AAGCAAAUUACUUGUCCCUCCCCCUGCUGAGACUAAGUGUUUCCUACAAUCUCUGUCUGACUCAUUUCCGUAGUAAGACAGGGACUCUUGGUCUCAAACAU